GUUGUAAAUGAACACUUUUGCACAUUUAUUGCAACUUACGAAGUUUAACUCUUUCUCAUUUUUUUCAGUGACAAUUGAGAAUUGUGUCCAGAUGUCUGACUUGCUUUGCUUUUGUCAAGUAAACAGCCGCUUUAAUCUUCUUCUCAACGUCAUGUUUUGACUCCAUUCUUAUUAUUAGGCUACACGGCCAAAUCCCACCGGGUCCCGCGGAUCUCCCGUUAAACAUGGAUCCUGCUUCUCACUCAUUACACUUAUUUUGGCCUUUUUUCAUAGACAUGGCUGCUUGUUUUUUCUUAAGGGAUCUGGCAACACAAGUGGGACAUUAUAAAAAGUUAUAAUGGUUAUAAUAGUAAUAAUGUUUAACUUUAUAAUAAUUGAGUUAGAGGUUCAUUAACUAAUUAUUAACUGAAUUAAAGUAACAAACUUGUGCCAUCACCGCUCCUAUCGGAAGUGAGAAAGAAAGGAAGAAAGAAAUUUUUUACUUCCUUCAUUUUUUUCUCUUUAUCCAUUCUAUCACAUUUACAGGAAGGUUUGUGUUGUGAAGAUUUCACAAAAGAAAAGAUUUUCCUUCUCCUUCAUCUCUCUCAUUACAGAGCAUUAGGAUGAACUAGAGGAAAAACAAAGUUAUACAUGAGGAUGUUAGAUAUGUCAUUUAUUUCUCUUGACUUAUUACAAACUGGACCAAAGUUGAGUGAAUAUUUUACAGCUGCAGGAGUAAAGCAGGUGAACAGAUGAGAGUUUACUGAACCAGGAUUCAGGACAAAAUGUGGAUAUGAGAAAAUCUCCAAAACACACAAGAGGAACUUCUCCAGAACACACAGGGUUUAUUUAAAGAAAAUAAAAAAGAUGAGUUGGUAUCAUGAGCAUGGCUGCUGUAAGACCUCGAAAGGUCUUUUAUAUCAGAUGUAAAUGAUGAGCUGAUCAUCAGUUAGGUAGCGAUUGGGUUGAAAAUCAACAUGCUGCACAGAUUGGACUUUACAAUCCUUCAUACAAAUAAAUUUGCUGUGAGGACAACCAGAAAAUCUUCUAAAGAUAAGAACAUGCCUUAUUGUCGUUGUUGUUAUUGUCACUUUAAUCUGUUGCUAAUUCUCUGUGAUUUAUUAAAGUGUUUAAUAAUGUGUAAUCUUGUCCAGUUCAUCAACACCACUAAAGUCUAUCUGUCUCUCAGUGAAAGAGAACAGUGGUCUGAUGUCCAUGUUCAGUGGUUUAGUGGUUAUAUGCUCGUUCAGUAACAAAACAUACACACGUGACUCUGGAUGUCAUUGUAUCAGAUGACCACUAGAUGUCCUCAUAACCUCAUAUAUGUAUAACAUCCAACGUUACAUCCCCGUUCCUAAGUAUAUUCCUUUAUACAGAUGCAUAGAAGUUCUGCACAAACUUUUAAGCACAACAUUUGAGUUUCAUCAACCAAUUUUUUCAGCAUAACUGCAAAAUUAUUCAACACAUUUUCACAAAAUUAAUAUUAAUACUCAGAAAUUAUUACAUUUCAACUUUAUAUCUUUGUAUUUUUCAGGUAUUUUUACAAUUCUUCCAGACCUUGUACGCUUUCCAUCAGGAGUCUUUACUAUAAAAGAAUGUGGAUGUUCAUGCUUUUCCAGAACAACAGCUGGCUUCCACGAAUCUCCCUUUUGCAUCCUUAUUCCUUCUGCAGGUUGCAGACCAGAUCAGUGACGUACCCUUGCUCCCUUGAGCUUGGAACUCCCGGCUCCCCUCCUCCUUAUGCCUAUGUUCGUCCCCUCUCUCCCACCUUUGCAUCUUCUUCCUCCGAUUCGAACCCUGGAUCUCCAGAUUACACUCCUACUACCCCCCUUUACUAAGUUCUAAUAAUAAACCUCUCCCCUUCUAUCCACCCUCUGA
Molecule: long non-coding RNA, 1857 nt
Organism: Tachysurus fulvidraco (yellow catfish)
Lineage: Eukaryota; Metazoa; Chordata; Actinopteri; Siluriformes; Bagridae
Exons: 3
Source: RefSeq, a predicted model, not a curated record